CUUUUGCCUAAAUUGAUUCUAUAUAUUGUGCUUACUGUAUAUGCCAGAAACGCAUGCUGUUUUAUUAAACCAAGUCAUUUCUUUGUUUAUUCCUAUCCAUAUUGUUGAUGGGUAGUGAAUAAUGAAUGCAGAAAUGUUGUAACGUCACCCUCGAGUGUUCACGACUUUUUACGAUAAAUGAGAUUAAGCAAAUUUCGUUGUCGUUGUCUUUCCACCGGCUAAGGGCGGAAAAG
Long non-coding RNA from Ruditapes philippinarum (Manila clam), 233 nucleotides. RefSeq lists it as uncharacterized. The transcript is spliced from 3 exons. The record is from RefSeq and is a predicted model, not a curated record. Lineage: Eukaryota; Metazoa; Mollusca; Bivalvia; Venerida; Veneridae.